Molecule: regulatory RNA element, 80 nt
Organism: Pantoea ananatis LMG 20103
Lineage: Bacteria; Pseudomonadati; Pseudomonadota; Gammaproteobacteria; Enterobacterales; Erwiniaceae
Rfam family: ABC transporter regulator
About the family: DapZ sRNA, encoded in the 3'-UTR of the conserved dapB gene, as a translational repressor with a GcvB-like seed domain.
Source: Rfam
UUUUACCUGUGUGAUGUGGUGAUUUCAAUCGCUAAUAACUUGAUUGAGAAGGGCAAUUUUUUAAUUGCCCUUAAUUUUAU